AGAGUUGAUCCUGGCUCAGAAUGAACGCUGGCGGCGUGCUUAACACAUGCAAGUCGCACGAGAACUCUUUAAGCUUGCUUAAAGAUAGUAAAGUGGCGCACGGGUGAGUAACGCGUGGGCAAUCUACCUCCGAAUUGGGGAUAACUCCGCGAAAGCGGGGCUAAUACCGAAUAAUAUCCCGAGAACUUUGGCUUUUGGGAUCAAAGGUGGCCUCUAUAUGUAAGCUACUGUUUGGAGAUGAGCCCGCGUACCAUUAGCUUGUUGGUAGGGUAAUGGCCUACCAAGGCGACGAUGGUUAGCUGGUCUGAGAGGAUGAUCAGGCCACACUGGAACUGACACACGGUCCAGACUCCUACGGGAGGCAGCAGUGAGGAAUUUUGCGCAAUGGGGGAAACCCUGACGCAGCAACGCCGCGUGAGUGAUGAAGGCUUUCGAGUCGUAAGCUCUGUCAAGUGAGAAGAACCUGUCCCGCGUUAAUACCGCGGGAUACUGACGGUAUCACUGAAGGAAGCACCGGCUAACUCCGUGCCAGCAGCCGCGGUAAUACGGGGGGUGCAAGCGUUAUUCGGAAUCAUUGGGCGUAAAGGGCGCGCAGGCGGUCUUUUAAGUCAGAUGUGAAAGCCCGGGGCUCAACCCCGGAAGUGCAUUUGAAACUGAGAGACUUGAGUAUGGGAGAGGGAAGUGGAAUUCCUGGUGUAGAGGUGAAAUUCGUAGAUAUCAGGAGGAACACCGGUGGCAAAGGCGACUUCCUGGACCAAUACUGACGCUGAGGCGCGAAGGCGUGGGGAGCAAACAGGAUUAGAUACCCUGGUAGUCCACGCAGUAAACGGUGAACACUAGGUGUAGCGGGUAUUGACCCCUGCUGUGCCGUAGCUAACGCAUUAAGUGUUCCGCCUGGGGAGUACGACCGCAAGGUUAAAACUCAAAGGAAUUGACGGG
Molecule: ribosomal RNA, 939 nt
Filed under: uncultured bacterium
Lineage: Bacteria
Description: bacterial SSU rRNA
Rfam family: Bacterial small subunit ribosomal RNA
Source: RNAcentral